CUCCCUGUUGCCUCCCCACUUUCCCACCGUCCUGUGGCCCUCUGGUCUCUCUCCUGCCCUCAUCCCCAUUUACCAGGCUCUUCUCUGAUCAGGAACCUCACUCUGGAGCCGGAGAUCUUUCCUGCUGCCACUGACAGCCGUUAUAUCCGAGCGGUGGGGAUCCCAGCUCUGGGCUUCUCGCCCAUGAACCGCACACCCGUGUUACUACAUGACCAUAACGAACGACUGCACGAGGCUGUGUUUCUACGUGGAGUUGACAUAUAUACACGCCUAGUUGCUGCACUUGCUAGUGUGCCCGCUCUGCCUGGUGAAAGCUGAGCCCCAGGCCUUCCAACCCUCAUAGCUUUCAGCCCAACCACUGCCAAGGAUCUGUUGCCCCCGCCCAGUAAUAAAGCCAGUGUUGAAUGGG
Molecule: long non-coding RNA, 409 nt
Filed under: Rattus norvegicus (Norway rat)
Lineage: Eukaryota; Metazoa; Chordata; Mammalia; Rodentia; Muridae
Description: long non-coding RNA NONRATT028941
Source: RNAcentral